This 838-nucleotide ribosomal RNA is filed under the name uncultured bacterium. Its description in RNAcentral is "bacterial SSU rRNA". It matches the Rfam family "Bacterial small subunit ribosomal RNA", at positions 62 to 869 of the family's 1533-position model. The record is from RNAcentral.
CCCAUUGAUUGAUGGUGCUUGCACCUGAUUGAUUUUGGUUGCCAACGAGUGGCGGACGGGUGAGUAACACGUAGGUAACCUGCCCAGAAGCGGGGGACAACAUUUGGAAACAGAUGCUAAUACCGCAUAACAGCGUUGUUCGCAUGAACAACGCUUAAAAGAUGGCUUCUCGCUAUCACUUCUGGAUGGACCUGCGGUGCAUUAGCUUGUUGGUGGGGUAACGGCCUACCAAGGCGAUGAUGCAUAGCCGAGUUGAGAGACUGAUCGGCCACAAUGGGACUGAGACACGGCCCAUACUCCUACGGGAGGCAGCAGUAGGGAAUCUUCCACAAUGGGCGCAAGCCUGAUGGAGCAACACCGCGUGAGUGAAGAAGGGUUUCGGCUCGUAAAGCUCUGUUGUUAAAGAAGAACACGUAUGAGAGUAACUGUUCAUACGUUGACGGUAUUUAACCAGAAAGUCACGGCUAACUACGUGCCAGCAGCCGCGGUAAUACGUAGGUGGCAAGCGUUAUCCGGAUUUAUUGGGCGUAAAGAGAGUGCAGGCGGUUUUCUAAGUCUGAUGUGAAAGCCUUCGGCUUAACCGGAGAAGUGCAUCGGAAACUGGAUAACUUGAGUGCAGAAGAGGGUAGUGGAACUCCAUGUGUAGCGGUGGAAUGCGUAGAUAUAUGGAAGAACACCAGUGGCGAAGGCGGCUACCUGGUCUGCAACUGACGCUGAGACUCGAAAGCAUGGGUAGCGAACAGGAUUAGAUACCCUGGUAGUCCAUGCCGUAAACGAUGAGUGCUAGGUGUUGGAGGGUUUCCGCCCUUCAGUGCCGGAGCUAACGCAUUAAGCACUC